Molecule: long non-coding RNA, 1239 nt
Filed under: Ananas comosus (pineapple)
Lineage: Eukaryota; Viridiplantae; Streptophyta; Magnoliopsida; Poales; Bromeliaceae
Description: long non-coding RNA (ACOM_LNC014938)
Source: RNAcentral
AAUCCCCAGAUGGAGGGGAUUGUCGUCGAGUACUCCGGAGUGUCGUGCGACUAGGACCACUUGGAGGUCCGGACCACAUGGAGGUCCGCAGACGGUCCCGGGCUUGGGUGCACUUGGAGCUCCCUCCCCACUUUGGGAUUGAAAGGUGAGUUAUUGGCGAACCCUAGGGCUUCGCUUCAGAUUGGGUAAAAGAACAGUGAACAAUGCCAUUGAACAUUAUUAUUCGAACAUGGAUCGAAUUUGUUAGCAUGAUAGUAAACCUUUACUAUUUGAUGCAUGGUAUGAGUUUUAGUUGCAUCCCAGUUGAGUGGAUUUAGGGCCGAGGUGCAUGUGAGACAUCCUUCACCUUGAGCCUGGCUUUGUGCGGUAUUCCGCGUAUGAUUGACUCAAGAACUUUGUAACUAACUCUGAAACUCUUGACUUGUAACUGAAUUCAUUGCAAAUCUUGACGAAGUGUGUGGAGAUUGUUUUGCAGGGUAUUUCAAGACUUCGAGACUCCAUAUCGUGUCUUAAGUCAUAGAGUUUGUAUUAGGUUGUGACACAUGUAUUUUUGUUUUUAUUGGAUCGAUCAUGCAGAAAAUUAUUGUUUGGUGAUUGCAGUAAUCUUCUUAUUUUAUUUUUUGGAUGAGCAGUGUAAUAUUCUUGUAUUUUGUCACGAAAUCGCCAAAGGGGGAGAUUGUUAAGGAUUUUAUUAAGUUGGCGAUUUUCGUGGAGUUUUGGUCGGGGUCUCGAAGGUUCAGAAGACGAAGGUUGAAGUAAGAAUUGGAGUUUGACAAUCAAAGACCCUUGGGAUCUCAGGUAUGAUUAUGAAUAAUUUGUGGUGAGUUUUUAUUGUUAAAAGGUAUUUAGAAGACCGUGGAUUCGGUGGGCGUUUCGUGAAAUCAAGGCGUGUGCGGCUGCAAGGAGUUGCAGUGUGAUCGGUUCGAGGAUUCCAAGCGAUCGAGGACUGGCAAAGACAAUCUACAACGAGGAUUCGGUAUUUUGAGUCUUGUAUUUUUUGAUAAAUCACUUGUACUCAUGUUUUCUUAGUGGAUUUCUUUGUGUGAUCGGUCCCGUGGGUUUUUCUCUCUGAUUUGGAGUUUUCCUACGUUAAUUCUCGGUGUGCUAAUUUUAUUUUCCGCAUUUACAUUAUAUUCGCAUCGAGUUUAGUGUUUUUUUUUUUUCGUUUGCACCUAUUCACCCCCCUCUAGGUGUUUUCACCUUUUAGAUCCUCAGGAUCCAUAUCUGUCAGUUCGUGGU